RNAcentral lists this ribosomal RNA (506 nucleotides) under uncultured bacterium. Its description in RNAcentral is "partial 16S ribosomal RNA". It matches the Rfam family "Bacterial small subunit ribosomal RNA", at positions 30 to 523 of the family's 1533-position model. The record is from RNAcentral.
AUUGAACGCUGGCGGCAGGCCUAACACAUGCAAGUCGAACGGUAACAGAAAGCAGCUUGCUGCUUUGCUGACGAGUGGCGGACGGGUGAGUAAUGUCUGGGAAACUGCCUGAUGGAGGGGGAUAACUACUGGAAACGGUAGCUAAUACCGCAUAACGUCGCAAGACCAAAGAGGGGGACCUUCGGGCCUCUUGCCAUCGGAUGUGCCCAGAUGGGAUUAGCUAGUAGGUGGGGUAAGGGCUCACCUAGGCGACGAUCCCUAGCUGGUCUGAAGGGAUGACCAGCCACACUUGAACUGAGACACGGUCCAGACUCCUACGGGAGGCAGCAGUGGGGAAUAUUGCACAAUGGGCGCAAGCCUGAUGCAGCCAUGCCGCGUGUAUGAAGAAGGCCUUCGGGUUGUAAAGUACUUUCAGCGAGGAGGAAGGCGUUGUGGUUAAUAACCACAGCAAUUGACGUUACUCGCAGAAGAAGCACCGGCUAACUCCGUGCCAGCCGCCGCCGUAA